RNAcentral lists this unclassified non-coding RNA (337 nucleotides) under soil metagenome. RNAcentral describes it as "partial contains 5.8S ribosomal RNA, internal transcribed spacer 2, and large subunit ribosomal RNA". The stretch from base 1 to 120 matches the Rfam family "5.8S ribosomal RNA", at positions 35 to 154 of the family's 154-position model. The record is from RNAcentral.
GAUGAAGAACGUAGCGAAAUGCGAUAAGUAAUGUGAAUUGCAGAAUUCCGUGAAUCAUCGAACCUUUGAACGCACAUUGCGCCCCCUGGCAUUCCGGGGGGCAUGCCUGUCCGAGCGUCAUUUCUGCCCUCAAGCACGGCUUGUGUGUUGGGUGUGGUCCCCCCGGGGACCUGCCCGAAAGGCAGCGGCGACGUCCGUCUGGUCCUCGAGCGUAUGGGGCUCUGUCACUCGCUCGGGAAGGACCUGCGGGGGUUGGUCACCACCAUGUUUUACCACGGUUGACCUCGGAUCAGGUAGGAGUUACCCGCUGAACUUAAGCAUAUCAAUAAGCGGAGGA